Molecule: ribosomal RNA, 976 nt
Filed under: Acinetobacter schindleri
Lineage: Bacteria; Pseudomonadati; Pseudomonadota; Gammaproteobacteria; Moraxellales; Moraxellaceae
Description: bacterial SSU rRNA
Rfam family: Bacterial small subunit ribosomal RNA
Source: RNAcentral
AUUUAAAUUGGAGGUAAAAAGGGUGCCGUAGGGGGGGUUUUUUAAACUCCGGAAAGGGAAAUCCCGGGAGUUUUACUUUGGGGAAUUGCAUUCCGAUACCGGGAAAGCUUAGAGUUAUGGGAGGAGGAUCGUUAGAAAUUCCCAGGAGUAGCCGGUGAAAAUGCGUAGAGAUCCUGGAGGAAUACCGAUGCCGAAGGCAGCCAUUCUGCCCUUAAUACUGACGCUGAUGGUACGAAAAGCAUGGGGAGCAAACAGGAUUAGAUACCCUUGGUAGUUCCAUGCCCGUAAAACGAUGUCUUACUAGCACGUUGGCGGCCUCUUGAGGCGUUUAGUGGCGCAGCUAACGCGAUAAGUAGACCCCCAUGGGGGAGUACGGUCGCAAGACUAAAACUCAAAUGAAUUGACGGGGGCCUGCACAAGCGGUGGAGCAUGUGGUUUAAUUCGAUGCAACGCGAAGAACCUUACCUGGCCUUGACAUACUAAGAACUUUCCAGAGAUGGAUCGGUGCCUUCGGGAACUUAGAUACAGGUGCUGCAUGGCUGUCGUCAGCUCGUGUCGUGAGAUGUUGGGUUAAGUCCCGCAACGAGAGCAACCUUUUUCCUUAUUUGGCAUCGGGUCAUUCCGGGAACUUUCCAGGAUACUAACAGUGACAAACUGUGGGGUAGGGGGGGGGUACGGGCCAAUUUUUAAUGCCCUUUAGGGCGAGGGUUACAUAGGUGCUACAAUGGUUGGUACAAAGGGUUGUUACUUCGCGAGAGGAUGUUAAUCUCAAAAAGCCGAUCGUAGUCCGGAUCGCAGUCUGCAACUCGACUGCGUGAAGUCGGAAUCGCUAGUAAUCGCGGAUCAGAAUGCCGCGGUGAAUACGUUCCCGGGCCUUGUACACACCGCCCGUCACACCAUGGGAGUUUGUUGCACCAGAAGUAGCGUAGUCUCACGCGCAAGGUAGGCCGCGUACCUGCAGUGUUCUCCCGUUCCG